This 45-nucleotide non-coding RNA is filed under the name Schistosoma margrebowiei. Lineage: Eukaryota; Metazoa; Platyhelminthes; Trematoda; Strigeidida; Schistosomatidae. The record is from RNAcentral.
AUUCAGCUGAAGAGUCCCAAACAGGACGAAACGCGCGUCCUGGGU